UACGCCCCCAAUUUGUAUUGC
Molecule: non-coding RNA, 21 nt
Filed under: Caenorhabditis elegans
Lineage: Eukaryota; Metazoa; Nematoda; Chromadorea; Rhabditida; Rhabditidae
Source: RNAcentral